CCUACGGGAGGCUGCAGUGAGGAAUAUUGGUCAAUGGACGAGAGUCUGAACCAGCCAAGUAGCGUGAAGGAUGACUGCCCUAUGGGUUGUAAACUUCUUUUGUCAAGGGACAAAAUCAGGCUCGAGAGCCUGACCGAGGGUACUUGAAGAAAAAGCAUCGGCUAACUCCGUGCCAGCAGCCGCGGUAAUACGGAGGAUGCGAGCGUUAUCCGGAUUUAUUGGGUUUAAAGGGUGCGUAGGCGGACUGUUAAGUCAGCGGUAAAAGCCCGGGGCUCAACCCCGGCGAGCCGUUGAAACUGGCUGUCUUGAGAUGUCGAGAGGUAUGCGGAAUGCGCAGUGUAGCGGUGAAAUGCUUAGAUAUUGCGCAGAACUCCGAUUGCGAAGGCAGCAUACCGGCGGCGAUCUGACGCUGAGGCACGAAAGCGUGGGUAUCGAACAGGAUUAGAUACCCUUGUAGUC
This 459-nucleotide ribosomal RNA is filed under the name uncultured bacterium. Its description in RNAcentral is "partial 16S ribosomal RNA". It matches the Rfam family "Bacterial small subunit ribosomal RNA", at positions 338 to 795 of the family's 1533-position model. The record is from RNAcentral.